This 584-nucleotide ribosomal RNA is filed under the name uncultured bacterium. RNAcentral's name for it is "bacterial SSU rRNA". It matches the Rfam family "Bacterial small subunit ribosomal RNA", at positions 102 to 666 of the family's 1533-position model. The record is from RNAcentral.
ACGGGUGAGUAACACGUAGGUAAUCUACCUUCGGGUGGGGAAUAACCCAGGGAAACUUGGGCUAACACCGCAUAAUGCAGCGGCACCACAUGGUGACAGUUGUUAAAGCGGGGGAUUUUCGGACCUCGCGCCUGAAGAGGAGCCUGCGGCAGAUUAGCUAGUUGGUAGGGUAACGGCUUACCAAGGCGACGAUCUGUAGCCGGCCUGAGAGGGCGGUCGGCCACACUGACACUGACAUACGGGUCAGACUCCUACGGGAGGCAGCAGUCGGGGAUUUUGGGCAAUGGGCGAAAGCCUGACCCAGCAACGCCGCGUGAAGGAUGAAAUCCCUCGGGAUGUAAACUUCGCAAGAAUGGGAAGAAUUAGUAGGGGUUAAUACCCCCUAUGAUGACGGUACCAUUUGUAAGCUCCGGCUAACUCCGUGCCAGCAGCCGCGGUAAUACGGGGGGAGCAAGCGUUGUUCGGAUUUACUGGGCGUAAAGGGCGCGUAGGCGGUCAGCACAAGUCAGUUGUGAAAUCUCCGGGCUUAACUCGGAAAGGUCAACUGAUACUGUGCGACUAGAGUGCGGAAGGGGCAACUGGAA